Long non-coding RNA from Sinocyclocheilus rhinocerous, 1519 nucleotides. RefSeq lists it as uncharacterized. The record is from RefSeq and is a predicted model, not a curated record. The transcript has 5 exons. NCBI's taxonomy places the organism in Eukaryota, Metazoa, Chordata, Actinopteri, Cypriniformes, Cyprinidae.
GCAGAGCUAAUAUCUCCCGAUCUUCCUCCAGCACCAGCAGCUUCAGCAGCACAGCAGGGGAGGGAGACGGACUGGAGGAGCUGGAAAUGAGCAGUCACCCGUCCACGGCUUCAUCUGUGUACAGUCCAUCUCUCAGCGUGGAAAGCCAGAACUCUGGAACGCCGCUGAUCAUGUGCCGCAGUCCCACAGAUGGAAAGAGCAAAACUUCACCGAGGUCAAACUUGAAAUUCCGCUUUGACAAACUGAGCCACUCCACAGGUCAUUAGGUCAGACAGAAGCCACUGCAUGGACAUAAGGCAGUGACUUUGAAUGGAUUUUUAUAGAUUGGAAGAAAAAGGGACCAUUUCCUCUUGCCAUUGCGACAGUUAUCACUGUUCAACAUAAUACACAACUGAACACUAUUGUUAGAACUGAUCCUACAGACACACGAAAAGGGUUUAGAGGACAGAAAUUAACACCAGUCUUAGUAGAAAAAGCAACAAACGUCUCUGUUUUUCCAACAUUGUAAAUGUAGUGCUCAAACAAGUGUUGAAACUAUUCUUGCCUAACUGCAAUUGCUUUCUAGACAGAUGCUCAAUAUUAUCACAGCUACAUGAAAUACUUGAAGAGUUCUCAGUCAUUAAAUGUUACAAGAGAUAAGGACUACAAAGUAUCAUUAUAAGCACCUGUACUGUACUCAGUCUUUUGCAGAGAUUACGGGUCAUUUUGAGUCUUGUAACACUGCCCAUCAGUGUAAGCCUUAAAAUACUGUACACUAACUAUGCUCUGCUGAGGAUUGAGUCUGUUCUUUUAUUUUUGAGUGAUGUGAAAAGGUCAAAUUCACCUUUCCCGAGGGUAACCAAAGAUGAAGAUUGCCAAGGUUUAUUUGUGGUAAAAGGGGAAGGGUUUUGACAAAAAACAUAACCUUGCAUGGAUGGCGAAGACACAUUUUAUUAUAUUUUUAAAGCAAAAUUGGUUUGUUUAUUUCAGCGUAUAUUUAGUUCUCUAAAUAAGACUUCAGUAUAUUUGUUCAACACUGGGUUGGCAGAUACUGCUAACUUUAUUGAACAGAUAUAUUUGCACAAUUGAACCAAAAAAAAGAAAGAAAUUAUUUACUUCAUUAAAUUUCAUUUUUAACUCUCAAACACACUUGAGAAAGCACAGACACAUAAACAUGGUUCUUCUUAACUUCAGACUUGUGGAUGUACAAAAAGGUCCUUUUUUGUAAAUGCUUCGUUAUUCAACUUUGGCUGGCAGAAUAAUUUUUGAACAAUUUUUGAAGGAUUUUCUUUUGAAAUGUUGUUAUUUAUUUACAUAUGUGUGUCUCUGCUCAUUCCUUAUGAUUCUGUUAGUUUUUCAGCGGUACUCAAUGGUGAGGGCAUUAGACUGCAGAGAGCGAGUUAAAUAUUCUUGUACAAUAGUUACAAACUCUGACAUAAAAUGUGUUGGCAUAUAUGUUUGUACUGCCAUAAUUUAUUGCUUUAAAAAUUGUUGAUGUUACGUAAAAAAAAAUUUACACAGAGUCAAAUUAAAAUAAUUU